RNAcentral lists this ribosomal RNA (276 nucleotides) under uncultured bacterium. Its description in RNAcentral is "partial 16S ribosomal RNA". It matches the Rfam family "Bacterial small subunit ribosomal RNA", at positions 29 to 334 of the family's 1533-position model. The record is from RNAcentral.
AACGAACGCUGGCGGCAGGCCUAACACAUGCAAGUCGAACGAACCUUCGGGUGAGUGGCGCACGGGUGCGUAACACGUGGGAAUAUACCCUUGAGUACGGAACAACGUCUGGAAACGGACGCUAAUACCGUAUAAUGACUCCGGUCCAAAGAUUUAUCGCUCAAGGAUUAGCCCGCGUCUGAUUAGAUUGUUGGUGAGGUAACGGCUCACCAAGUCGACGAUCAGUAGCUGGUCUGAGAGGACGACCAGCCACACUGGAACUGAGACACGGUCCAG